Molecule: ribosomal RNA, 305 nt
Filed under: uncultured bacterium
Lineage: Bacteria
Description: bacterial SSU rRNA
Rfam family: Bacterial small subunit ribosomal RNA
Source: RNAcentral
CCUACGGGACGCAGCAGUGGGGAAUAUUGGGCAAUGGGCGCAAGCCUGACCCAGCAACGCCGCGUGAAGGAAGAAGGCUUUCGGGUUGUAAACUUCUUUUAAGAGGGAAGAGCAGAAGACGGUACCUCUUGAAUAAGCCACGGCUAACUACGUGCCAGCAGCCGCGGUAAUACGUAGGUGGCAAGCGUUGUCCGGAUUUACUGGGUGUAAAGGGCGUGCAGCCGGGAGUGCAAGUCAGAUGUGAAAUCCCGCGGCUCAACCGCGGAACUGCAUUUGAAACUGGCAAACUGGAGUGUGUGAGAGGA